This is a non-coding RNA of Myodes glareolus (Bank vole), 3550 nucleotides long. NCBI's taxonomy places the organism in Eukaryota, Metazoa, Chordata, Mammalia, Rodentia, Cricetidae. The record is from RefSeq and is a predicted model, not a curated record.
ACUUGUUCUGCAGACCAGACUAGCCUUGAAAUCAGAGAUUCACCUGCCUCUGCCUCCCAAGUGUUGGAAUUAAAAGCAUGAGUCAUCAUGCCUGGCUCUAAAAUAGAGAUUUUGCUCUCAGUUUUAAGAGAAAAUUUUGCCCCUAGUCCUUUUGUUUUUAUUAAUGGGUAUGAUGUCCUUGUCAACUUGACUAAUCUGGAAUUAACUAAAACUAAAACAUGGAAGAUACACCUGCAAGAGACUUUUGUUUAAAGUGGAAAGAUCUACUUCUAAUCCAGGAUCUUUGAGGUGGGAAGACACCCCUUUAAUCCAGAUCUUUUGAACUGGAAGUUCCAUCACUGAUCUGGGCCACACGUUCUGAUGGAGAUCUAUAUAAGGAGAUGAAAAGGAAGCUUUUACUCCUUGCCUGCUUUGCUAUCAAGUAUAUUCCUUCACUGGCAUUGGAGCCUACUUCUUUGAAAUUCUGGCUUAUACUGAAGACCAGCUGAGACAUUCAGCCUGUGAACCAAACAACUACUGGACUCUUGGACCUUCCAUUCACAGCCAGCUACUGUUGUAUUAGCUAGACUACAGCCUGAUAGCAAUUCUAGGGAAUCCCCUUUCUAAAUACAUUCAUUCUCUAAGUUCUGUUCCCCUAGAGAAUCCUGAUUAAUACAGAAGGGUUGUAUGGUAUAGCCCAGGCUAGUCUUGAACUCCCAGCAAUCCUUGUGCCAGAACUUUCCAAUUCCAUGAUCACGGGUAUAAACCAUAUAACUGGCUCAUCUAUCCAAUUUCUACUCCUAAAAUAGUUUUCAAAAUCAAAGGAUCAGCAUUAAACUUGCCUGUAUAUGAGGAAAAUUUAAAGUUCUAAACAGAAAAGAAUUACACAGCAGCUACAAGAGAUUUGGAGGCCCUUUCUAUCAUCCCCAAAACUAUAAAUGUAGUUCAAUGAAUCUAAAAUGUUUAUUCUUCUGUCUGGAAUUUUGGUACAUGCCAUGAAGACAGUCUCUAUUUUUUUCCUCCUUCAAGGCGAAGACAGGGUUUCUGUAUGUAUCCUUGGCUGUCUUGGAAUUUGCUCUAGAGACCAGACUCGCCUCGAACCCAGAGAUAUGCCUGUCUCUGCCUCCUCUGUGCUGGGAUCAAUGGUGUGCCUACAUGUCAACCUCAAUAAAAAGCCUGGCAUCCAGUCUAAUGAGCUUCUUUGGGAGGCAGAGCUCCAAACACAGUGAUGGUUUGGAGGAACUAUAGGACUUGUCCUAUGUGCCUCUGCUGGAGAAGACUCUUAGAAGCUUUUUCCUUUUGCUGAUUCUGCUCUGUAUUUUCUUGUGACAACUGGAGAUCUGAGUAUGGCUGCAUGCUGAGUCCUGCUAGGAAUCACUGAUCCAUGGACACAUAGUCUACCAGAUCGAGUGAGGACCACAGUUUCUCUCAUGUUCUCACCUCUUCAAUGUUGGAGAUUUUACAGGUUUCUGGCCUCUCACAAUCUUUGGAAAAGGAAGCACUAUAAAUCCAGACACAAGUGGCGGCAAGUACACUUACACCCACGUUAAGUCUUUCAUCUAGUAACCUGAAAUGUUGUAGGGAUAGUUUUGAGGAUUUGUUUUUAUUUUUAAAAAAGAAGUAUUUUUUUCUUCUUUUUUAAACAGAGAAACACCUGCAUUGAAAAGCUGGGUAAUACCAAUGCCUGAGGUGCUGAAGUCUCAAGAGAGCUGGAGAAGGCUUAUGUCCAAUGCAGAGAAACAUGAGGAUGACGAUGUCUAGGGUAAAGGGAUGCUUCCCUUGACAGGUCCUCACAUUAUGACAUAUUUGAGCUCUAUCACAAGAGACCUGAGCCUGUCUACUUAAAAGUUAACCCCUCCUCGUUUUUGAGACAAGGUCUUAUGUAUCAAUCUGGUCUUGAACUUCCUAUAUAGCUGAAGAUGACCAACUUUUGGUCUUCCUGCCUCUUUCUUCAAACUGCUGAGAUUAUAAGCAUGUUACCACACCCAUUUUAUGGAGUGUUGGAGAUCCAACCCAGGGCUUCAUGUAUGCUUGGGAAUUAACUCUAUCAAUUCAGCUAACUAAAGUCCCAACCUGAAAAAGAUAAAACAAAUAUAUGGCCUGACCUUGAAACUUGGUUCAACCAGAAUUGAACUCCAGGGGACCACAAAGAAAGAAGAAAAAAAACAAUCAGACACUAUUCCCUGAAGAGUUAUGACAAGUGUGGUGGUUUGAAUAGGAAUGGCCCCAUAGACUCAAGUGCUGGAAUGUUUGGCCCAUAGGGAGUGGCACUAUUAGGUGUGAGUGACCUUGCUAGAAGAAGUGUGUCACUGUGGGAUGAGGCUUUGAGAUCUCAUAUGCUUAAGCUACAGCCAGUAUGGAAUACAGUCUCCUGCUGCUGCCUGCUGACCACGUCUGCUUACAUGUUGCCAUGCUUCUCGCCAGGAGGACAAUGGACUGAACUUCUGAAACUGAAACUGAACUCAAGGAUUUAUGGUUGUCAUGUAAGCACUCUGUCACUGAGGCUCAUCCUAAUCCUUCAUCCGUUACCUGUCAACAUUUAUUCCAUUUGGUAUUCAAAUCCCUUAACCAAGUUCCAAAGUAAAACAACCAAGGAAGAAAACUGGAACUCUAAAACCAUGUGGAAAAUGAAAACCCUAUUUAAUAGGAUACUGAACUUCUCAGAAGAUACACACCUUUUAAGAACAAUUGGAACAGCAAUGGAGGGAUUCUUCCUCAGACCAUCAAUGAUAUCAGCUGCUUUAUCGGCAUAUAUCCUCUGCAGUGCUUUCCUAUGGAUGACUUCUGAGGUGCCCCCAAGGGUGUUAUCCAAGCGAAAUUUGGCUUGUUCCUCAGCAGACAAGCGUGAAAGUUUUUUCUGUAUUGCUUCCAGAACCCGGAUUGUUGCAAGAUUGGUCUCUAAAACUACAUCAAGCUUAAAACAAAACAAAAGAACAGAAGAGUGUGCUCAGGCCCAAAACCAGAAUAUAGCAGAGCUGGGAGAAUAAGGAGUGUCCAAUCCCUUGAGAUUGGAGUCAUGGUUUCUAUACAAGCCACGUAAGACUCUCUACAAUAAGCUGUGAACAAUGGCACCUGCUACUUUCAUAAAGCUGUCUUCUGGAAGCACAUAAAGUGAUCAGCAGUCAUCAUACCUAUCACAACUUCCACACACUGUUUAGCACCACUGACCACAGGCCAGUGGGACCUAAGAGAAGUCUACUACUCUACUGAUAUAUUUCCUUACACUUUUGCUUAUACUGAGACAAGGCCUUACAAUGGAUGACCUGGAACUUGCAAUAUAGACUAGACGGGCCUUCAACAUAUGGCAAGUUCUUGCCCCUGCUACCUAAAGGCUGGGAUUACAAAUGGUUAGCAGAUAAUAAGAACACUUGUCAUCAAACCAGACCACCUGAACCUGGCGUCUGAACCUGGAAACCCACAUGGUAGGAGACAAACAGCUGACAAGCUGUCUCUGCUCUCCACAAGCAGAUCACAGCUUACAUGCAUAUAUACUUAUCAACCAAAUAAAUGAAAACUUAAAAAAAAUUCUGGCCCUGGUACUAUCAUUACACUCUUUUGAAGAAUCUGAAGA